RNAcentral lists this ribosomal RNA (460 nucleotides) under uncultured bacterium. Its description in RNAcentral is "partial 16S ribosomal RNA". It matches the Rfam family "Bacterial small subunit ribosomal RNA", at positions 338 to 795 of the family's 1533-position model. The record is from RNAcentral.
CCUACGGGAGGCAGCAGUGAGGAAUAUUGGUCAAUGGACGCAAGUCUGAACCAGCCAUGCCGCGUGCAGGAAGACGGCUCUAUGAGUUGUAAACUGCUUUUGUACGAGGGUAAACGCAGAUACGCGUAUCUGUCUGAAAGUAUAGUACGAAUAAGGAUCGGCUAACUCCGUGCCAGCCGCCGCGGUAAUACGGAGGAUUCAAGCGUUAUCCGGAUUUAUUGGGUUUAAAGGGUGCGUAGGCGGUCGGAUAAGUUAGAGGUGAAAUCCCGAGGCUCAACUUCGGAAUUGCCUCUGAUACUGUUCGGCUAGAGAGUAGUUGCGGUAGGCGGAAUGUAUGGUGUAGCGGUGAAAUGCUUAGAGAUCAUACAGAACACAGAUUGCGAAGGCAGCUUACCAAGCUACUUCUGACGUUGAGGCACGAAAGCGUGGGGAGCAAACAGGAUUAGAUACCCCAGUAGUC